This 464-nucleotide ribosomal RNA is filed under the name uncultured bacterium. RNAcentral's name for it is "partial 16S ribosomal RNA". It matches the Rfam family "Bacterial small subunit ribosomal RNA", at positions 339 to 795 of the family's 1533-position model. The record is from RNAcentral.
CUACGGGGGGCUGCAGUGGGGAAUAUUGGACAAUGGGGGAAACCCUGAUCCAGCAAUGCCGCGUGUGUGAAGAAGGCCUGCGGGUUGUAAAGCGCUUUCGGUUGGGAGGACUGCUUCUAGCACUAAUAUUGUUGGAAGUUGACGUUACCUUCAGAAGAAGCACCGGCUAACUCCGUGCCAGCAGCCGCGGUAAUACGGAGGGUGCAAGCGUUAAUCGGAAUUACUGGGCGUAAAGCGCGCGUAGGCGGCUAGAUCAGUCGGGUGUGAAAGCCCCGGGCUUAACCUGGGAACUGCAUCCGAUACUGUCUAGCUUGAGUACAGGAGAGGAGAGUGGAAUUCCACAUGUAGCGGUGAAAUGCGUAGAUAUGUGGAGGAACACCAAUGGCGAAGGCAGCUCUCUGGCCUGAUACUGACGCUGAGGUGCGAAAGCGUGGGAGCAAACAGGAUUAGAUACCCUAGUAGUC